CUCCAGGAGAAGACCACCGCGUUGAUCUCGGCCGUCGGAUCCAGAUUGGACCGCAGGAUCAUGUUCUAGCCUGCCUGGCUCAUGGCUGGUGCUGUUGAUUGUGAUUUGUGAAUAGUGAUUACAGUAAGUUAGGGCAGGUAGAAGAACGAAUGUCUCCGCAGUGUGAGUACUCAGAUUAGUUUAAGCCUUUUGAUUAGGUAGAAAUUUUUGUGAUGUCAUGGCACAUAUACUAGUAUAUUGUAGCACCAGUGGUAUGGCAAUGGCAGUGGUAGUUCAGUUGUCUAAUUCUGGCGUGUAUUAGGUCCAAUGAACGGGUGAUUUUAUAUCAGGCUUAUCUGGUUUUGGAGGCACUUUGUUUACAAUACAUAGCUGGUGGAGGUCCCCUGGCCAUCAACGAUUGAAUGGUAUGUAUAUGUGCAGACGUACUGCAGCUCCAACCAUGAACGUCAACGUGCAUGUGAACAGACCCAAGUGGGUUUCAAAUCGAUCUGGUGC
RNAcentral lists this long non-coding RNA (495 nucleotides) under Hordeum vulgare. RNAcentral's name for it is "long non-coding RNA (HVUL_LNC005284)". Lineage: Eukaryota; Viridiplantae; Streptophyta; Magnoliopsida; Poales; Poaceae. The record is from RNAcentral.